GUGUGAGCACGUGAGAAUUACUUUUAACUUCAACAUGAAACGUAGUGCAAAAGAGAAAUAAAAACAAAGCAAAGAGAGUUGUGAUGGAAGUGAUAAAGCAUCCCUUCAUCAUUUAAUCAAAGGUCUCCGUUUGAAUCAUGGUGGGUGUGGUGGUGCUUUGUCAGGAGUACUUUAUCCCUUAAUGAGUUAAUUGGAGGUUUAAGACUUUAAACCUUAAUUAUCUGAAGGCACC
This 232-nucleotide long non-coding RNA is filed under the name Capsicum annuum. RNAcentral describes it as "long non-coding RNA (CANN_LNC002001)". The record is from RNAcentral. Lineage: Eukaryota; Viridiplantae; Streptophyta; Magnoliopsida; Solanales; Solanaceae.